AGAGAUGUGAAGCAGCAUCAUGUGGAUGUUACUACUGCUGAUUAUUAGUGCGUCAAAUGCCUCUACGAGAAAGGAUAAAAUCUUUCAAUUAAUUAUCAAACUGCAAAAUUUGACCGGAAGACUUGAUUGGCCUGAAUUAAAUACUAUAAAACCGAUAACAGCAAAAACCAAUCCUCCUGGAUAUGUGAAUUUUGCAAAACCCGUAACCUUUUCUAACUCUGAUGAAACUAAAAAAUACUGCAGUGAAGCUGUUUGCCCGCAAGUUUCCUGUCCAUUGACGAAUGUUGUCAAUUUUGGAAAACUUAGAAAAUCGGGCGAGUUAUAUUUUUUAAACCAGAUGAAUAUUCUUUAAAAAUGCUGCAUUCCCUUAGUUCCGGUUCCAAAAAUCUACAGCAUGCGAAACCGCACCAUUAAGUCGUUUCUCGCCUUGAACAAAUUUGAUUUCAACUCGGCCAUGACUUUUAUUUGCUGCACGUACAAUUCGACAUUGUUAGGAUUCAACUCACCCGAACUUCUGACCAUUUUCGUAGACACGCUGAAAGCUGAAAAAAAAUCAAAAGGCGUAUGUUGGACGAGUGGAAUUUACUCCAAGGAGUGCGACGCGUAUGUCUGGUGUCCGGAUAUGGAGAUCAUUGGCGAGAAACCCCUGAUGAAGUGGAGGAAAGGCUUUCCAAAUCGGUUAUUUGGUGAUUGCCUCGCCGUGCAGACCGGACAGGACAAUCCAGACGAUAACGGACUUUUCAACCAAAACUGCAACACGAUAAAUUUCCACGUUU
Molecule: long non-coding RNA, 776 nt
Organism: Cloeon dipterum
Lineage: Eukaryota; Metazoa; Arthropoda; Insecta; Ephemeroptera; Baetidae
Exons: 6
Source: RefSeq, a predicted model, not a curated record